GAUGAAGAACGUAGCGAAAUGCGAUAAGUAAUGUGAAUUGCAGAAUUCAGUGAAUCAUCGAAUCUUUGAACGCACAUUGCGCCCGCUAGUAUUCUGGCGGGCAUGCCUGUCCGAGCGUCAUUUCAACCCUCAAGCCCCCGGGCUUGGUGUUGGGGAUCGGCGAGCCUCCGCGCCCGCCGUCCCCUAAAUCUAGUGGCGGUCUCGCUGUAGCUUCCUCUGCGUAGUAGCACACCUCGCACUGGGAAACAGCGCGGCCACGCCGGUAAACCCCCAACUUCUGAACGUUUGACCUCGGAUCAGGUAGGAAUACCCGCUGAACUUAAGCAUAUCAAUAAGCGGAGGA
This 343-nucleotide unclassified non-coding RNA is filed under the name soil metagenome. RNAcentral's name for it is "partial contains 5.8S ribosomal RNA, internal transcribed spacer 2, and large subunit ribosomal RNA". The stretch from base 1 to 120 matches the Rfam family "5.8S ribosomal RNA", at positions 35 to 154 of the family's 154-position model. The record is from RNAcentral.